UUGUAUAUACUUUAAACACAAUAAGCUAUGCAUUAUAAAUUUUUAAAUACUUCUUUUGUUGCAGGAAUAUGAUGUUACAAAUACUAAUCAUGCUGAUUUAAGACUUCCUGCAUUACUAACAUCCUCAAUACUCGUAUGCAAGUGAACCACGUGUUACUAACACAUUGUCCCCCAUUGCAAUGUAGUAAGUCAUGUUAAACGACAUCCUGACAUAACCGGCUGGUUUAGAUAGACUUGUACCGCAAGGAUAGACUAGAUAGGUUGUUAGGAUUCAUCUCUAUCUAUGUAACUUGAAUAUCUAUCUCUAGCUUAAACAAGAUUGUAUCCCAACUGCUUGUACGCUAUCAGGGAGGUUGCGACCCUGCUAUAUAACACGAAGCCGUCGGCCUCAAAGGGCACAACGUUCCUAGCCUACUUUACAUGGUAAUCAGAGCCGCCUCUUCCACUACAUCUAGCCUUCCAAACCCCAUCGCCUAAAGCUUCCGCCAUGGCCUCCUCCAGCACCUCCAACUCCGCCCUCUCUGUCCAAAUCACCGGAAGGCUCACCCGCACAAAUUACAUCCUCUGGUGCACACAAAUCAUGCCGCAGCUCAGAGGUGCGGGAUUCUAUGGCUAUGUUGACGGCACCGUGAAGGAGCCAGUCACAUCUGUCGUCACCAAGGACAAGGACGGGAAGGAGGAGCACAUCCCGAACCCCCUUCAUCCGAUCUGGAUCCGGAAGGAUCAGCAGGUGCUCGGCUACCUCCUGAACAACCUCUUCAAGGAAGUUCUCGUGCAGGUAACAUCGAUUUCCCAUGCACAUGAACUAUGGACAGCUCUGGCGAACAUGUUUUCAUCUCAGUCAAUGUCCCGAGUAAACAAUAUCCCCGUCGCUCUUGCGAACGCACAGAAGGGCAACCAAACCGUUGCAACCUUCUUUGCGCAUAUGCGCUCCCUGGCUGAUGAACUGGCUGCUGCCGGCAAGCCCCUCGACGACGACGAGCUCAUCUCCUACAUUGUGGCUGGACUCGACAUGGAGUACCAGCCACUUGUCUCCGCCCUCGACGCCCGCUUGGAACCGGUCACCCUUGACGAACUGUUUGCUCAGAUGAGCAACUUCGAUCAAAGGGUGGCACUCUUCCAAGGCGCCAACACCGGAGGAUUCAAGUCAUCUGCAAACGCCGCCACACGCGGCCAUAGUGGUCGUGGCCGUGGAACAAACCGCAGCAGAGGAAACUACAACAACUCCUCCUCUCGCGGUGACCGCGGUGACCGCGGUGACUUCCGCGGCAACGGUGGCCGGUCCUCCUCCACCAACAACAGGGGCCGCCACAACAACUCCUCCAACAAAAGAUCUGAUGUUGUCAAGUGUCAGAUUUGUGGCAAACUUGGCCACUCGGCCAAGGAUUGUUGGUAUCGCUUCGAUGAUGAUGGCGACUCCUCCCAGGAUGAGAAGGUGGCCGGAGCUGCUGAUGGCUCCUAUGGUGUGGACACCAACUGGUACAUGGACAGUGGAGCCACAAACCAUAUCACUGGUGAGCUUGAGAAGGUGACAAUGCAUGAGAAGUACCUCGGGAAGGACAACAUCCACACUGCUAGUGCAGAAGGUAUGGAGAUUUGUCACGUUGGUCAUUCAAUUAUUAAAACCCCUCACAAAAAAAUUCGUGUACGAAAAUUUUUGCAUGUACCUAGUGCCUCCAAAAAUCUACUCUCUGUUCAUCGCAUUGCCAUUGAUAAUCAUGUCUUUCUUGAGUUUCACCCUUUCUUCUUUUUGAUCAAGGAUCAGGCAACGAAGAGGGUGCUAUAUCGAGGUAGAUGCGUUCGUGGGCUUUACCCACUAAUUCCAGAGAUUAGAAGAUUCAAUAAACAAGCUUUUGGUGCUACCAAGUUAUCUCUACACGGUGGCACGAUAGGGUAGGUCAUGCAGCUUUUUCCUUAGUUGAACGAUUGCUUAGGAAGAAUAAACUCUCAUAUGUUGGAGAGCAUAAUGUUGAAACAGUUUGUGAUCCAUGUCAAAAAGCUAAAAGUCAUCAGUUACCUUAUCCAGUUUUCACCAGUGUUUCUACAAAACCCUUGCAACUUAUUUUUUCUGAUGUUUGGGGACCUGCUCCCUCAUCUGUUGGUAGACACUCUUACCACGUAAGUUCCAUUGAUGACUAUAGCAAAUAUUCCUGGAUCUAUCUUCUCAAGAAACAAUCCGACGUUUUUCAAGUGUUCCAAAAUUUUCAGGCUCUUGUUGAACGAAAAUUUGACACAAAAAUCAUAGCUGUUCAGUCUGAUUGGGGAGGAGAAUAUGAAAAAUUGAACUCCUUCUUUCAGACACUUGGGAUUUCUCAUCAUGUGUCCUGUCCACAUGCCCAUCAGCAAAAUGGCUCUGCUGAGCGCAAACACAGACAUGUUGUUGAGGUAGGAUUAGCACUUCUAGCCCGAGCAUCCAUGCCCCUCAAAUUUUGGGAUGAGGCUUUUCUUACUGCAGUUCAUCUCAUCAAUAUUCUAUAUAGCCGAGUCAUCAACAAUGAAACACCCACAGAAAAACUCCUCCACACCAAACCAGAUUACACCUCUCUCCAUGUGUUUGGUUGUGCCUGCUGGCCCAAUCUGAGACCAGAUAAUAACCGCAAACUUAUGUUUCGGUCACAACAAUGUGUUUUCAUUGGCUAUGGUCCCCUUCAUAAAGGAGUCAAGUGCCUUGACGUCUCCACAGGUCGAGUCUAUAUUUCUCGCGAUGUCGUAUUUGAUGAGACAAAAUUCCCCUUUGCUGAUCUACAUCCUAAUGUCGGAGCCCUUCUUCGCAAAGAAAUCUUGCUUCUAUCCCCUCAUCUUACCAAUUUUGAUCGUGGGGAAAUUAAUAAUUGCAAUGAUCAUACGUUGACUAACUCUCACAACCUGCAUGAGCCUCUUGAUGAUGCAGAUUUUACCACCGUUGGAGCCGACACAGACGACAAUGGUGAAAAAAAUACACAUAGCACUCCAUAUUUUAUGUGUCGGCCGCCGGGGAGCAUAUCUGCCUCGGGAUCGCAGCUGCAGCAGGGUGGCAGCGGUGGCAGCGAAUCUGCUCCGAGAUCCGCACCGAUCCAGCAGGGCGUCAGCGCGACAGACACCGCGUCCGCCCCCAGGUGUGCCGGGCCUCGCGCCCGCGCCGAUGUGCCCGCCAGCCGUUGGCCCGCAGGCGGGCCCCGCACCUACACCCGUCAGCAAACCGACGCGCUCACGCGAUCCGAGGAGGAUCCGCCUGGUCGGCCGACCGGGGAGCGAGAUGCUGUCGGGCCGCCUGGAUCUUCUGCGCCAACUAAUGCAUCCGCGCAUUCACUAGAAGCCACAGGGGAUGCAGACGAUCCCGCCGCUUCUUCUGGUGAUCCUGUUCCCCUGACAAGGACAGGCGACGGCGGCGGAUCUUCUACGCCGGCUCCUACUCCGCCACCACGUACCCGGCUCCAACUUGGGGUAAUCCCACACAUAAACUACAAAACCAAGUUUGGUCUUGCUUGUUCUACAGGUGAACCAAAUAGCCUUGCCGAAGCAUUGGGUGAUGCGAAGUGGAAAAAGGCUAUGGAGGAAGAAUGUGAUGCACUUCACAAAAACAAAACUUGGCACCUGGUUCCUCACUCCAAAGGUAAAAACUUGAUAGGUUGCAAGUGGGUCUUCAGAAUUAAAAGAAAAGCUGAUGGGUCUAUAGACCGUUACAAAGCUAGACUUGUUGCAAAAGGCUUCAAGCAAAGGUAUGGCAUAGACUAUGAGGACACAUUUAGUCCAGUGGUAAAAGUUGCCACCAUUCGUCUUGUACUAUCCAUUGUUGUCUUCAGGGGGUGGAGCCUAAGACAACUAGAUGUACAGAAUGCGUUUCUUCAUGGCGUUCUGGAAGAGGAAGUAUAUAUGAAACAACCACCUGGGUUCGUCAAUAAAAACUCACCAAAUCAUGUGUGCAAACUUGAUAAGGCUCUCUAUGGAUUGAAGCAGGCACCAAGGGCAUGGUACUCUCGUCUCAGUCAAAAACUGCAAACACUUGGGUUCAUUCCUUCAAAAUCUGAUACAUCCUUAUUUAUCUAUAAUAAGUCAAAUACAUCCAUAUUUGUACUUAUCUAUGUUGAUGAUAUUAUUGUCACAAGUUCAUCUAAUGAGGCUGUGACAGGGCUCUUAAAGGACUUAAGUGCUGAGUUUGCUCUCAAGGAUUUUGGUGACCUGCAUUUCUUUCUUGGUAUUGAGGUAAAGAAACUUGGACUCCAUCUCUCCCAGGAAAAAUAUGCUGCUGAUUUGGUAAGAAGGGUUGGUUUGCAAGGAUGUAAGCCAUCACUAACUCCUCUAUCUAGCACAGAAAAAUUGUCCCUUUCAGAAGGAGAUCUUUUGAAUCAAGAAAACAGCACCAGAUAUAGGAGUCUGGUAGGGGCUCUUCAAUAUCUUACAUUGACUAGGCCUGAUCUUUCUUUUGCUGUCAAUAAAGUAUGCCAGUUUCUUCAUGCACCUACUACUGCACAUUGGACAGCUGCAAAGCGUAUUGUGAGAUAUGUGAAAAACACUAUGAAGCUUGGUCUCACAUUUACUAAAUCCACAUCUACUCUUGUCAGUGUUUUUUCUGACUCUGACUGGGCGGGAUGCAUAGAUGACAGGAGAUCCACUGGGGGCUUUGCAGUAUUUUUUGGUCCAAACCUCAUAUCUUGGUGUGCAAAGAAACAAGCAACUGUCUCAAGAUCAAGUACAGAGGCUGAGUACAAAGCAUUAGCAAAUGCUACAGCAGAAAUUAUUUGGGUGCAGUCCAUGCUUAAAGAACUUGGUGUAAAACACAUCCAAGCUCCUUGUUUAUGGUGUGACAACCUUGGUGCUACUUAUCUGUCUGCUAACCCUGUUUUUCAUGCAAGGACAAAGCACAUUGAGAUAGAUUUCCAUUUUGUCAGAGAACGAGUUGCCAACAGAAAAUUAGAAAUUUGAUUUAUACAUUCACAAGAUCAGGUUGCAGAUGGGUUCACAAAGGCCUUGCCCACCAGGAAUCUUGAAGAGUUCAAGCGCCACCUGAACCUACGCAGUUGUGACUAAGGGAGGGUGUUAAACGACAUAACCGGCUGGUUUAGAUAGACUUGUACCGCAAGGAUAGACUAGAUAGGUUGUUAGGAUUCAUCUCUAUCUAUGUAACUUGAAUAUCUAUCUCUAGUCUAUCUCUAGCUUAAACAAGAUUGUAUCCCAACUGCUUGUACGCUAGCAGGGAGGUUGCGACCCUGCUAUAUAACACGAAGCCGUCGGCCUCAAAGGGCACGACGUUCCUAGCCUACUUUACAAGUCAUACAAGUAAUCAGUGAAAUACUAUUUGCUAGCUAGAGCGUUUACUGUUUGGAAAUAUUCAUUUUUUUCUAAAAAGGGG
This 5329-nucleotide long non-coding RNA is filed under the name Hordeum vulgare. Its description in RNAcentral is "long non-coding RNA (HVUL_LNC018598)". The stretch from base 965 to 1103 matches the Rfam family "Small nucleolar RNA Z247". Lineage: Eukaryota; Viridiplantae; Streptophyta; Magnoliopsida; Poales; Poaceae. The record is from RNAcentral.